UUGGGACCCAUUUGAACUUGAAUCGAUCUAGUUCGCUCCAAUUAGCACUACCAGUUCAUCCCAAUUAGACGUUUCAGUUCAUCCCCAUUUGAGCGGCGGUACUAAUGGCAGUUUGUUUCGAACAAAUCUGAGGGAUUCAGUUGCAUCUGCAUACCCCACGUUAGGUCGGCUACUGCCGAACCCCCAUGCUCCUGGAUGGAGGUCGAUGGGCAGGAGGCGGGGCACGGGAUGAUGGAGCCGCAGGUGGUGGACCUCGAGGACGACAGCAUCAACUUCUGGGCCUCGCUGGGCGUCCAUGGUGUCGACAACAUGCCGCUGCACGGCGGCGUCCACAUCGUCGACCAGGUGCCGACGCCGGCGCUGUCGCAGUCAGUCUGCAAGGAGCUGUUCCCGGUUGACUCCGACCCAUGCCUUGAGCCCCGGCUGGGGAUGGAGUUCGAGUCCGGCGAGGCCGCCAAGACCUUCUACAUUGCCUAUGCAGGGCGUGUGGGGUUCUCCGUCCGCAUUGCUCGGUCACGGAGGUCUAAGUGCAGUGAGUCUGUCAUUAUGUUGAGGUUUGUCUGCUCAAAGGAAGGGUUCAGCAAGGAAAAGCAUGUUGUUGAGGGGAAGAAGACGAGGAAGCGGCCUGCCUCCAUUCGGGAGGGCUGCAAUGCCAUGCUCGAGGUGCUACGUAGAGGUGACAGCAAGUGGAUUGCCACCAAGCUUGUCAAGGAGCAUAACCAUGAGGUCGGUAUGCCCAGCAGAGUGCACUACAUUGCCACAGAGAGUGAUGUGGUGGUCGACCCUUACAUUGGUAUGGAGUUUGAAUCCCUUGAGGCUGCCAAGACAUUCUACUACUCAUAUGCGACCCGUGUUGGGUUUGAAGCUCGUGUACGCCAGUCCCGCAAGUCGCAGGAUGAGUCACUCAAGAUGCUGAAGCUUGUCUGCUCGAGGCAUCGGUACCAUUCUGGAAGGGAAUCCAAUGGAGGGGAUACCAAGAGAGUGCAAGCCUUGGAUCCUUCCAGGGAUGGUUGUGAUGCAUUAUUCGAGAUUAUUCGGAAAGACAGAGAUGCCUGGAAGGUCUCUAAACUCAUCUUAGAGCAUACUCAUGAGCUGAACCCGGCACCAACAAGUAGAGUUCGUUGUGUUCGCUCACAGGGUGAGGUACUUGUUAUUGCAAAGAACUUCUCUGACACCCGUAAUCUCCUAUUGAACGGUCUAGAUUCCCCGCAUCAUAGAGAGUUGCGAUAUAAUGAUCUAGGGCCAGAGGAUGUUCAAAGCUUCCUUGGAUAUCUAAAGAAGGCACAAACUGAGGAUCCUUCAUUUUUCUAUGCUGCGCAGCUUGACAAGAAUGGUCACACAGCCAAUAUUUUCUGGGCUGAUGCGAAAGCUAGGAUGGCUUACCUCCAUUUUGGUGAUGCUGUUAGGUUUGGUAUGCUGUGCAGAAACAGCAAGGAGCAUAUACCUAUCGCGGUAUUUUCAGGUGUCAAUCAUCAUGUGCAGCCUGUUGUGUUUGGCUGUGCACUAAUUGUUGAUGAUUCUGAAGCAUCAUUUGUAUGGUUGUUUGAAAAAUGGCUUGAAUCAAUGCCUCCUGGUCCUCCUGUCUCGUUGGUAUUAGAGUUUAACCAAGCAAUGGCUGCUGCAGCUACCAAAACACUACCCGAUACCUAUUGUUUGUUCUGUGAGAAGCAUAUCUUGGGUGUUGUCAGGGAAGAGCUACAAAGUUUAGAUUUAGAACUAGAAGAUUUCGUUACUGAUCUGAGAAAAUGCAUUGACUGGUAUAGAUUAGAAGAAUCAUUUGAAUCAUGUUGGGACUCAGUCAUCAGAAAAUAUGGCUUCAUAAAUAAUGAACUAUUACGGUCUCUAUACGAUAUUCGCAGACAAUGGGCCCCUGCAUACACAAAGAAGGUAUUUUGUGCCAGAAAUCUACUUCCACAGAGCUGUCAUAAUCUUGAAAAUGUUGUUGAGAAGCACUUCUCGUGCAAGACCCAAUUGCGAGUGGCUGUUCAGCAACUUGAACAAGCUGUUUGUAAUUUUUAUGAAAAGGAAGCCCAGGCAGAUUAUCUGACAACGUUUCAAAUGCCAACACUUAGGACGGCAUCACCAGUGGAAAAGCAAGCAAGUUCUAUAUUCACCAGGUCAAUAUUUGAUAAAUUUCAGGAGCAGUUUGUUGAGUCCUUUGGGUACCAUGCAGAUAGACUUGAGGUCGAGGAUGUGAUGCUACACAAGUAUUGUGUUACAGUAAGUGAAGGGAAUGAGGAGGCACAUACUGUUUCUUUCAAUCCAGAAAAAAAGACAGUGGGUUGCAGUUGCUGUUUGUUUGAGAGCUGUGGCAUCUUGUGUCGGCAUGCUCUUCGUGUUUUCAUUAUUGAAGGUGUACGUUCUCUUCCAAUGGCUUAUAUCUUGAAACGCUGGACAAAGCAUGCAAAAAGUAUUGUCACCUUGGAUGAUUACAUAGAUUUAAGAGGAUACCAUGAUGAUCCUUCAACUGCAAGGUACAAUGAUCUCCAUUCUGAUGCGAUCAAAUGUGCAAAAGAGGGUUCAACAUCCUCUGAGCUCUAUAAGAUUGCUAAAGAGGCAUUGCACAAAGCUCUUGAUGAACUAGUGUCUUUAAGGAAAAGCAGAUAUCAGCAAAAUUUACAAAGUUCUAUCACAUCAGUAAAAAAGCCGAUCAAGAAGUCUGUGAAGGGAAAAGAUUCUAAUCAUUGUACUGGCAAGAGCUUAAAUAGGAAUGAGCUGGGUAGUGGGCACUGAAUCAGGUAGCUUAUCUUGCCAGUUGCCACAGAAUGUUAGAUGAGCUUAUCUUCACAUACAUGAUUUGAUUGAUUUCUGGUGAAGUGGACAAAAAAUCAUACUGCCCAAGGCUGGAAGGAGCCAAAGCAUAUAAUACAGUUCAGCAAUAUGAGGAUUUAGCAUAUGUUAACAUCGAUAUGAAGAAACGAGUGCAGUACCAGCUGUAUACCAUCAACCAUGUCGUAUCAAGGGAGACAACCUUUGGAUACAGCUAUUCAGCAAGCUGAUAGAACAAAUGAUCAAGGCAGGGAGUUGAACGGAAGUUCUGUUUUCCCCAUUAGGGAGGCAAGCGUGAAGAAAAAGGCACCACCUUGCAGGCAUAUCCACAGUCCAGUCCAUUGCACUCUGAUUCCACAGUAGCUAGUUGGAGGUUGCUGUUAGAUCGGUUGAAUUCUUCUCGAAGAGCAUGCCGCAUGCACAUAACGCCACAACCAUGUGCAGGUAAUGACAAGAGCAAAGAAAGAGGAGGGUCAGCGCGCCAAGAUAUGUCAAGAUUGAAAGCAAUGUAUGCUCACAGACACACUGCAAAACCUAUAGCUUGAGACUGGAUGCUUCAACAAUCAAGCAUUGGCACACAAACCACUGCUGCAUCUUACCUGGGAACAGAAAUGAGAGGAACACCUUUUCUUGUUAUUUAUAAGAAAAGGAAUGUGCCAACUGCCAUGUGCAUCGGGCUCCCACUCGAAGAUCUUCGUCUUGCGCGUGGAAAGGAGAGUAAGAUGGAUGCUCUGGUAGUGGUUUCUGAGUUACAAAUUGCAGAGUUAGGUGGUACUUGUGCGGUUGCAGCUGUCAGGAUCAGAAUGGGAGCAUUGCAAAGCGGCUCCCUGAGCCUGAGCUUUCAGUUCAGCCCUUCCAGGCCCAAGCGGACGUGUCCCAACUCCCAACAGUGGGUUCUUCCUUGUACAUGUCCCCAUCGGCUUGCUCAACCCCACCAAAUCCGUCGCGCCGGCCCACGGUCUCCUUGGCUUGAGAUAGAGAUUGGAGGCGUGCUGUGUGUUGUGUGUUGUCGCUGGCAUGGAGCUCGUGGCCGAACGGAUAGACCACUAUGUUGGCCUGUCAUUGGCCACCCAGGGGCAAGGGGCAGCAUGCCUGCCUUUACCAACUCUCAGGUUCCUGUUCUCUCUCUCUCUCUCUCUCUCUGUCUCUUCUAUUUGCUUUGCUGAGUUCAUAUGCAUAAUGCCCCCAAUUAAACAGUAGUGCAAUGUCAAACCUUUCUUUUCAUCUGAUUGAUUAUGAAUUAUCUUUGCACUGUUUGUUUAUUUCUAGAUAGAUGCUGUAUCCCCUUUCUUUGGGCAGACUCAACGUGGACCAGUUGGUUCCUCAUCCUUUUUUCUUGUUUACAAGAGAAGUGAACCACUUCAUUUAAGUCCAGCCAUAACUAUAGUUCUGCAUAACAGUUGCAGCAUUUUGGCUCGAUGCGUGGUUUCACAUCAUGCAAUUCAAUCGAUUAAAAAUGCACACGAUAUGCUGGCAAAGAAAGAGACAGA
This is an RNA transcript of Oryza brachyantha (malo sina), 4259 nucleotides long. It is a transcript of the gene named protein FAR1-RELATED SEQUENCE 5-like, with no coding region annotated. The record is from RefSeq and is a predicted model, not a curated record. NCBI's taxonomy places the organism in Eukaryota, Viridiplantae, Streptophyta, Magnoliopsida, Poales, Poaceae. The transcript has 4 exons.